CCCUUAGAUGUUCUGGGCUGCACGCGCGCUACACUGAGUGUCUGAGAUACGAGUCUGCCUGGUCCGGCAAGGUCUAGGUAAUCGCUAAAAGACACAUCAUGCUUGGGAUAGAUUAUUGCAAAUAUUAAUCUUGAACGAGGAAUUCCUAGUAAGCGCAAGUCAACAGCUUGCGUUUAUUACGUCCCUGCCCUUUGUACACACCGCCCGUCGCUACUACUGAUUGGAUGUUUAAGCGAGGUUCUCGAACUGCUAGCGACUUAGCUUCGGUGAGGUCGCAGUGUGGGAAGUGAACCUAGCUUUGGUGUCUAGAGGAAGUAAAAGUCGUAACA
Molecule: ribosomal RNA, 329 nt
Filed under: uncultured eukaryote
Lineage: Eukaryota
Description: partial 18S ribosomal RNA
Rfam family: Eukaryotic small subunit ribosomal RNA
Source: RNAcentral